This 520-nucleotide ribosomal RNA is filed under the name uncultured Glomus. Its description in RNAcentral is "SSU rRNA". It matches the Rfam family "Eukaryotic small subunit ribosomal RNA", at positions 569 to 1089 of the family's 1831-position model. Lineage: Eukaryota; Fungi; Glomeromycota; Glomeromycetes; Glomerales; Glomeraceae. The record is from RNAcentral.
AGCAGCCGCGGUAAUUCCAGCUCCAAUAGCGUAUAUUAAAGUUGUUGCAGUUAAAAAGCUCGUAGUUGAAUUUCGGGAUCAAAUUGUCGGUCGUGCCUCGGUACGCACUGGUAUUAUUGGUUCCUCCCUUCUGAAGAACCGCGAUGUCAUUAAUUUGGUGUCGGUUGGGAAAUCAGGACUGUUACUUUGAAAAAAUUAGAGUGUUUAAAGCAAGCGCACGCUUGAAUACAUUAGCAUGGAAUAAUGAAAUAGGACGUUUGAUUCUAUUUUGUUGGUUUCUAGGAUCGACGUAAUGAUUAAUAGGGAUAGUUGGGGGCAUUAGUAUUCAAUUGUCAGAGGUGAAAUUCUUGGAUUUAUUGAAGACUAACUACUGCGAAAGCAUUUGCCAAGGAUGUUUUCAUUAAUCAAGAACGAAAGUUAGGGGAUCGAAGACGAUCAGAUACCGUCGUAGUCUUAACCAUAAACUAUGCCGACUAGGGAUCGGAUGAUGUUAAUUUUUUAAUGACUCAUUCGGCGCCUU